Non-coding RNA from Prunus avium (sweet cherry), 549 nucleotides. NCBI's taxonomy places the organism in Eukaryota, Viridiplantae, Streptophyta, Magnoliopsida, Rosales, Rosaceae. The record is from RefSeq and is a predicted model, not a curated record.
UCACCCGGCUAUCUCUCUCUCUCUCUCUCAGCCUAUCUUCUUUCUGCCCUGGAUACCUCACCAAAUCGACGGCGAUGACGUCGGUGUCGGCAUCGGCAUGAUCGCUCGCUCGCUCUCUCUGUCGACCUCACCCUCUCUGUCGACCUCAUCUCCUCUCUCUCUCGACCUAAUUUGUCAUUCGUUUUGGAUGAAUCUGGUUUGGUUGCUUUUCUCUGUUUUGGAACAAAUCUGAUAAGAAGUUUUGAUUUCGUUUGGUUGCAGGUAUCUUUUGGGUCAUCUACUCCAAGAAUAAGCCUUUUUAGAAUUUAUGGCUCAAGAAGAUGGAGAUCCAUCUCGGUUAAAGCCAUCACUUUUGGUUAUCAAUCGGCCCACAAAGACCAUGAAGAAGACAGUGGAUGAGAACUAGUUUGGCGCUUUGUCGAAUUGGAACGAGGAUGAUGGAGAAGCUAUUGGAGCUGCAAAACAUCUCUUAACUAAUACAAGUGAAUAGGUUUGGUGCUGUGCCUGUAUUUUUUUUUGUCAUGGGUUGUAAUUUUUUAUUGUUAGUAA